GCAUCCGUCGCGUUGAUCGCCCGAGAGCAUGAGGUCAACGCCAACCUCGUCUUCAAAUGGCGCCGUCAGAGUCGUGGGUUCGAAUCCCGCCGGAUGCGCCA
This 101-nucleotide transfer RNA is filed under the name Stutzerimonas nitrititolerans. RNAcentral describes it as "tRNA-Leu". The record is from RNAcentral. Lineage: Bacteria; Pseudomonadati; Pseudomonadota; Gammaproteobacteria; Pseudomonadales; Pseudomonadaceae.